Molecule: long non-coding RNA, 283 nt
Filed under: Elaeis guineensis (African oil palm)
Lineage: Eukaryota; Viridiplantae; Streptophyta; Magnoliopsida; Arecales; Arecaceae
Description: long non-coding RNA (EGUI_LNC055707)
Source: RNAcentral
UUUAGUGAAAUUAUGAUAUUUUUAUAUUAUAUUAUAAAAAUACUUUGAUACAAAUCAAAUUCUAUGCUCUCAGCCUAACGAUGUUUUAGUAGACCCUACCAGUGGGGGCUAAAUAUUGGUAUCUAUUGGAACCUAUCAAUAGAGGUUAAAUGUUGGUACUUAGUGGACCUUGCAAAUAGGGAUUAAAUGUUGGUACUCAGUAGAUCCUACCAAUAGAGAUUAAAUGUUAGUAUAUAGUGGACUCUGCAGAUGAGGGUUAAAUAUUAGUAUUCAUUGACCCUGC